The submitters of this non-coding RNA (123 nucleotides) gave its source as unclassified sequences. The record is from Rfam.
AUCGGUACAUGAGUACCGAUAUACCCAACUCGUGCGGUGAGCCAUUCCGACGGUCAGCCGCAUAAGUCCUGUAUGUGCCUGAGCCAUUCCGACGGCAGGGCGCCAAAAUCAGAAUACAAGGAG